This 469-nucleotide ribosomal RNA is filed under the name uncultured bacterium. RNAcentral's name for it is "partial 16S ribosomal RNA". It matches the Rfam family "Bacterial small subunit ribosomal RNA", at positions 28 to 507 of the family's 1533-position model. The record is from RNAcentral.
GACGAACGCUGGCGGCGUGCUUAACACAUGCAAGUCGAACGGAAAGGCCCUGCUUGCAGGGUGCUCGAGUGGCGAACGGGUGCGUAACACGUGGGUGAUCUGCCCCUUACUUUGGGAUAAGCCUGGGAAACUGGGUCUAAUACUGGAUAGGACCAUGCUGUAGGUGGUGUGGUGGAAAGAUUAGUUUCGGUAAGGGAUGAGCUCGCGGCCUAUCAGCUUGUUGGUGGGGUAAUGGCCUACCAAGGCGUCGACGGGUAGCCGGCCUGAGAGGGUGGACGGCCACAUUGGGACUGAGAUACGGCCCAGACUCCUACGGGAGGCAGCAGUGGGGAAUAUUGCACAAUGGGCGCAAGCCUGAUGCAGCGACGCCGCGUGGGGGAUGACGGCCUUCGGGUUGUAAACUCCUUUCAGCCAUGACGAAGCCCUUGUGGUGACGGUAGUGGUAGAAGAAGCACCGGCUAACUACGUG